AGUGAACGCUGGCGGUAGGCCUAACACAUGCAAGUCGAACGGCAGCACAGUAAGAGCUUGCUCUUACGGGUGGCGAGUGGCGGACGGGUGAGGAAUACAUCGGGAUCUACUUUUUCGUGGGGGAUCACGUAGGGAAACUUACUCUAAUACCGCAUACGACCUACGGGUGAAAGCAGGGGAUCUUCGGACCUUGCGCGGUUGAAUGAGCCGAUGUCGGAUUAGCUAGUUGGCGGGGUAAAGGCCCACCAAGGCGACGAUCCGUAGCUGGUCUGAGAGGAUGAUCAGCCACACUGGAACUGAGACACGGUCCAGACUCCUACGGGAGGCAGCAGUGGGGAAUAUUGGACAAUGGGCGCAAGCCUGAUACAGCCAUACCGCGUGGGUGAAGAAGGCGUUCGGGUUGUAAAGCCCUUUUGUUGGGAAAGAAAAGCAGCAGGCUAAUACCCAGCUGUUCUGACGGUACCCAAAGAAUAAGCACCGGCUAACUUCGUG
RNAcentral lists this ribosomal RNA (492 nucleotides) under uncultured bacterium. RNAcentral's name for it is "partial 16S ribosomal RNA". It matches the Rfam family "Bacterial small subunit ribosomal RNA", at positions 29 to 507 of the family's 1533-position model. The record is from RNAcentral.